AAAUUAUAUAUCUUUUUCAAUCAAAUUUAGCUCAUAAAAAUAAUUAGAAAAUUUCAGAUAUAGAGGUGUGUAAUUUGAGCCCUAAUUAUUGAUCAUGGUAAUGGUUUGACUAAUUAUCAAACGUAUCAAUAUUUUACUUUUAAAAAACUUGUCAUACAAUGUAUCGUUGUAUAUGUUAGCUCUGUAUCGAUUCGCUCUAUAUCAAAACUAACAGAUACAAAGCUAAUUGAUACAACUCACAGAGCUAUAAACAGAUAAAACUCAAACUCUUGUUAUGUGUAUUUUAAUUGGGGGUCAAAUUAGGUAUGACCAAAGUCAGCACAUCUAAAAGCUUGGGACAGUAUAGGCCGCCUAUAUAACCAAAUUACUUAUAAAUAAACUUUUUAAAUCAUAUACAAACAAAUUUGUUUGGUUUUAGUAGCUAAAUUUGAUAAUUAAACAAAUUACAAAUGAGCAAAUAAACAAAUAAAAAAUGAUUUUGAAUUGAAUGGGCUGAUUAUGACUUUUUUUUUUUUAGCGCAAAUUCAUCUAUCCAUCUUGACCAAUCAAAUUUUGGAUGGAUUAUGACCUUGCACUUUUUUUUAACCCCCUCCCGAGCUUCCACCUUUUUUUUUUCUCAACUCAAAUCCAUAAUUUCAAAAUUGGAGAUGACUAACUUACGUUCGAAUAAUCCCUUUGUCUACUAUGACCUUGCACAUUUAUUAAUUCAACUUUUUUUAACUUUGGAUCUCACUUUUGACCUCGAACUUUAAUAAAGCUACAACUAGAGGUUAUUUUAACCAUAUAUUCAAAGUCAAAGAAGUAAAUUUAAACAAACUUUCUCAAAAAAGUAAAAGUUUAAGUAAGUACUCAAUUAACUGAGUUUCUAAGAUUCCUCGACCAAAAUGCUUUUCUUUGUGAUAUCUACUACAUACCUUUUUUCCAAUAUAAUCAGCCCAAAACCUAGCAUGAGCUCUCUCGUAAGGAUCACUAGGCAUCAAAGGUGGUGAUUUGUCCUUCCAAACUUCAUCUAUGUACUCAACAAUUAUGAGUGACUCACAAAUUGGUUUUCCAUUAUGGAUCAACACUGGGAUUUUCUUGUGAAUUGGAUUCAUUUGUAAGAGUAAAUGACUUUUGUUCAUCAAAUCCUCCUCUUUGUAUUCAUAUUGG
Long non-coding RNA from Solanum stenotomum, 1149 nucleotides. RefSeq lists it as uncharacterized. The record is from RefSeq and is a predicted model, not a curated record. Lineage: Eukaryota; Viridiplantae; Streptophyta; Magnoliopsida; Solanales; Solanaceae. The transcript is spliced from 2 exons.